AGAGCGAACGUUAGCGGCGGGCCUAACACAUGCAAGUCGAGCGAGAAAGGGGCUUCGGCCCCAAGUAAAGCGGCGGACGGGUGAGGAACACGUAGGUAAUCUGCCCCACGGUGGAGGACAACGGUCCGAAAGGACCGCUAAUACUGCAUACGUUCCCCGGGUUCUCGGACCUGGGGAGGAAAGCCUCGCAAGGGGCGCCGAGGGAGGAGCCUGCGUCGCAUCAGCUAGUUGGUGGGGUAAUGGCCUACCAAGGCGAAGACGCGUAGCUGGUCUGAGAGGAUGAUCAGCCACACUGGGACUGAGACACGGCCCAGACCUCCUACGGGAGGCAGCAGUGGGGAAUAUUGGACAGUGGGCGGAAGCCUGAUCCAGCAACGCCGCGUGAGGAUGAC
Molecule: ribosomal RNA, 392 nt
Filed under: uncultured soil bacterium
Lineage: Bacteria
Description: bacterial SSU rRNA
Rfam family: Bacterial small subunit ribosomal RNA
Source: RNAcentral